CGUCAAGUCAUCAUGCCCCUUAUGUCCAGGGCUUCACGCAUGCUACAAUGGCCGGUACAGAGGGCUGCGAUGUCGUGAGGCGGAGCGAAUCUCUUAAAGCCGGUCUCAGUUCGGAUCGCGGCCUGCAACUCGGCCGCGUGAAGGCGGAAUCGCUAGUAAUCGCGGAUCAGCAUGCCGCGGUGAAUACGUUCCCGGGCCUU
RNAcentral lists this ribosomal RNA (200 nucleotides) under uncultured organism. RNAcentral describes it as "partial small subunit ribosomal RNA". It matches the Rfam family "Bacterial small subunit ribosomal RNA", at positions 1183 to 1382 of the family's 1533-position model. The record is from RNAcentral.